Molecule: long non-coding RNA, 821 nt
Organism: Capsicum annuum
Lineage: Eukaryota; Viridiplantae; Streptophyta; Magnoliopsida; Solanales; Solanaceae
Exons: 2
Source: RefSeq, a predicted model, not a curated record
GAAACCCCAUUGAUUCGUGUUGAACUAAAUAAAAAUGGAUCAAAGGGUUAGCUUGGAGCUACUCAUAGCCUCAAGCAUCGUGUGACGCUCCGGGACCCAUUUUUGAGGUGUUACAAUAUUGGUCCAAAAGACUCGAUGAAAAGCAUUGCUACUAUCUGUCUCGAUGAAAUCUAAAGUAAUCGAGAUACCAGAGUCGUGCUGCGACCUUAAAUCAAGCACUACAUGGGAGGCAGCCUAUGAUCCUCAUGCUUGAUAUACUCCAGAAGCCAAGAUGCAAAAGAACCAACAAGGAUGGAAGAAAAAGAGUUGAAAUCUAAAGAAGAUAGAAGAGAAGUGUGGCUGACAACAUUCCUGAUAAGUCAUCAGCACUCUAAUAAGUUAUCAGCUUUAUCGUCAUCCUUAGACAGAGAUUUGUUUUCGGCUGGAGUUUAUGACGACAUUCCUGAUAAGUCAUCAGCCCUGUGAUAAGUUAUCAGAGACACCGUCAAUCUUAGACAGAGAAUGGACCUUAGCUGAAAGUUGUGAUGACAUUUCCUGAUAAGUCGUCAAAGAGUUUAUAAGUCGUCAGACUCCUGAUAAGGUGUCACUUAAUUUGAAAAAUUGCUGUACUCUGUCAUUUUGUUUCCACAAUUAGGGUAAACUAUUUAAAGCAUAGUUUAGGGUUUUCUAAAGGGCGGAACUUGUUUUGGGGAAACACGUAUUUUGUUAUUUUUCUCUCUAGUUUCUUGGCUUGAAAAAUAAUUAACUUUGAAUAGAUUUUCAUCACUAUUUUGGGAUUUCUAUUGUGAUCUAAUCCGAGAAUCACUAGAUACUAUUCAUCA